This 126-nucleotide ribosomal RNA is filed under the name Octodon degus (degu). The record is from RNAcentral. Lineage: Eukaryota; Metazoa; Chordata; Mammalia; Rodentia; Octodontidae.
GUGUAAGGCUGUACCACCCUGAAUGCGCCUGAUCUUGUCUGAUCUCUGAAACUAAGCAGGGUCAGGCCUGGUUAGGACUUGGAUGGGAAAAAACAUUUUUAAAGUGGAAAAUAGAUCUUUUGAAAU